Molecule: ribosomal RNA, 401 nt
Filed under: uncultured Desulfobulbus sp.
Lineage: Bacteria; Pseudomonadati; Thermodesulfobacteriota; Desulfobulbia; Desulfobulbales; Desulfobulbaceae
Description: bacterial SSU rRNA
Rfam family: Bacterial small subunit ribosomal RNA
Source: RNAcentral
AUCCCGGAGACCCUUAGGAAACUAGGGGUGCUUCCAUCUGGAAGAAUCUGGAGACAGGUGCUGCAUGGCUGUCGUCAGCUCGUGUCGUGAGAUGUUGGGUUAAGUCCCGCAACGAGCGCAACCCUUGCCUUUAGUUGCCAGCAGUUCGGCUGGGCACUCUAAAGGGACUGCCGGUGUUAAACCGGAGGAAGGUGGGGAUGACGUCAAGUCCUCAUGGCCUUUAUGACCAGGGCUACACACGUACUACAAUGGCCGAUACAAAGGGCAGCGACACUGCGAGGUGAAGCCAAUCCCGUAAAAUCGGUCUCAGUCCGGAUUGGAGUCUGCAACUCGACUCCAUGAAGUUGGAAUCGCUAGUAAUCGUGGAUCAGCAUGCCACGGUGAAUACGUUCCCGGGCCUU